UGCGAGUGGGGCGGUAACAGGAAUUAGCUUGCUAAUUCGCUGACGAGCGGCGGACGGGUGAGUAAUGCCUGGGAAUAUGCCUUGAUGUGGGGGAUAACUAUUGGAAACGAUAGCUAAUACCGCAUAAUGUCUUCGGACCAAAGAGGGGGAUCUUCGGACCUCUCGCGUCAAGAUUAGCCCAGGUGAGAUUAGCUAGUUGGUGGGGUAAGAGCUCACCAAGGCGACGAUCUCUAGCUGGUCUGAGAGGAUGAUCAGCCACACUGGAACUGAGACACGGUCCAGACUCCUACGGGAGGCAGCAGUGGGGAAUAUUGCACAAUGGGCGAAAGCCUGAUGCAGCCAUGCCGCGUGUAUGAAGAAGGCCUUCGGGUUGUAAAGUACUUUCAGUCGUGAGGAAGGGUGUGUAGUUAAUAGCUGCACAUCUUGACGUUAGCGACAGAAGAAGCACCGGCUAACUCCGUGCCAGCAGCCGCGGUAAUAC
This 481-nucleotide ribosomal RNA is filed under the name uncultured Vibrio sp. RNAcentral describes it as "bacterial SSU rRNA". It matches the Rfam family "Bacterial small subunit ribosomal RNA", at positions 56 to 526 of the family's 1533-position model. Lineage: Bacteria; Pseudomonadati; Pseudomonadota; Gammaproteobacteria; Vibrionales; Vibrionaceae. The record is from RNAcentral.